GCGGUCGUGGUGGAAUUGGCAGACACACCAUCUUGAGGGGGUGGCGGGGAGACCCGUGCGAGUUCGAGUCUCGCCGACCGCA
RNAcentral lists this transfer RNA (82 nucleotides) under Brevibacillus panacihumi W25. The record is from Rfam by way of RNAcentral. Lineage: Bacteria; Bacillati; Bacillota; Bacilli; Caryophanales; Paenibacillaceae.